GAACGCUACCUUCGGGUGGGAGUGGCAGACGGGUGAGUAACACGUGGGAACGUACCCUUUGGUUCGGGACAACUCUGGGAAACUGGAGCUAAUACCGGAUACGCCCUUUUGGGGAAAGGUUUACUGCCGAAGGAUCGGCCCGCGUCUGAUUAGCUAGUUGGUGGGGUAACGGCCUACCAAGACGACGAUCAGUAGCUGGUCUGAGAGGAUGAUCAGCCACACUGGGACUGAGACACGGCCCAGACUCCUACGGGAGGCAGCAGUGGGGAAUAUUGGACAAUGGGCGCAAGCCUGAUCCAGCCAUGCCGCGUGAGUGAUGAAGGCCUUAGGGUUGUAAAGCUCUUUUAUCCGGGACGAUAAUGACGGUACCGGAGGAAUAAGCCCCGGCUAACUUCGUGCCAGCAGCCGCGGUAAUACGAAGGGGGCUAGCGUUGCUCGGAAUCACUGGGCGUAAAGGGCGCGUAGGCGGCGUUUUAAGUCGGGGGUGAAAGCCUGUGGCUCAACCACAGAAUGGCCUUCGAUACUGGGACGCUUGAGUCUGGUAGAGGUUGGUGGAACUGCGAGUGUAGAGGUGAAAUUCGUAGAUAUUCGCAAGAACACCGGUG
This 605-nucleotide ribosomal RNA is filed under the name uncultured bacterium. RNAcentral's name for it is "bacterial SSU rRNA". It matches the Rfam family "Bacterial small subunit ribosomal RNA", at positions 64 to 714 of the family's 1533-position model. The record is from RNAcentral.